CCUACGGGUGGCAGCAGUCGAGAAUCAUUCACAAUGGGGGAAACCCUGAUGGUGCGACGCCGCGUGGGGGAAUGAAGGUCUUCGGAUUGUAAACCCCUGUCAUGUGGGAGCAAAUUAAAAAGAUAGUACCCCAAGAGGAAGAGACGGCUAACUCUGUGCCAGCAGCCGCGGUAAUACCGAGGUCUCAAGCGUUGUUCGGAAUCACUGGGCGUAAAGCGGGCGUAGGCUGUUUCGUAAGUCGUGUGUGAAAGGCGCGGGCUCAACCCGCGUACUGCACAUUAUACUGCGAGAUUAGAGUAAUGGAGGGGGAACCGGAAUUCGCGGUGUAGCAGUGAAAUGCGUAGAUAUCGAGAGGAAGACUCGUGGCGAAGGCGGGUUCCUGGACAUUAACUGACGCUGAGGCACGAAGGCCAGGGGAGCGAAAGGGAUUAGAUACCCUUGUAGUC
Molecule: ribosomal RNA, 446 nt
Filed under: uncultured bacterium
Lineage: Bacteria
Description: partial 16S ribosomal RNA
Rfam family: Bacterial small subunit ribosomal RNA
Source: RNAcentral